This 1292-nucleotide long non-coding RNA is filed under the name Fukomys damarensis (Damara mole-rat). RNAcentral describes it as "lncRNA (ENSFDAG00000025011.1)". Lineage: Eukaryota; Metazoa; Chordata; Mammalia; Rodentia; Bathyergidae. The record is from RNAcentral.
GCUCUGCCUCGCUGUAUUACUGUUGAAGUACUGCCUCCUGCCGGCGGGAGGACUGCACUGCAUGCUCCCUUUGAUCGAGAGGUGUCGCGGUGGCUCCAGUUUCGAAAUUUUGUAAAGUCUGUGUGGCAGUGACCCCAGGUGGUGAAGAGAAGAAACUGUCCGAGCCCGCACUUUUCUGGCAGAAAAGUAGACCCUGGUUCUCAUUCGUUCAAAAUCCAUUCGUUUAUAUUCCAAAAGGUGAGCAUAGAUCUUCGUAGGCGACAUUCUGCGAAAGAAUGCCAUGGCAUUCAAGUGAGUGUAACACAAAGGAAACUAGGGUUACAGAAGAGAAUGCGAGUAGUAUAAAACCUCACAGUUAAAAUGGUGUAAAUCACAGAAGCUAGGAGGGCAACAGAAAAUGAAAUUUCUCAGGAAGAUGAUUUUUGCACGUUCGAGUCUAAAAAGCUGCGGUUCCCACCCUUCCAGCAAUAACAUCAGGCACUCGAUCUGGGCCUGAUGUUUCCUUGGGGAACGCGUGUCUUUUCCACUGCGUCCUUUAGUGCGCUGCCGGUGUGCAUGACAGAAGAGGCCCUGCACUUUGAUCGGGAGUACAGCUCUGAGUGGCAGCCUUCAUGUGGUCCCCAGCGUGUGAUCAGAUGUCACUGGAAGACACAGAAACCAUAAGAAACGGAAGUGCAACUUCAAGCUUUAACCAGAAUACUUCUGGAGCUCUGAACUAUGGGAAAGGGCUGCCAUGUGCAAAGGAAAAAAAGAAAGAAAAAAAAAACCCGCAAGACAGGAUGAGGCUUCCUGUCUUCAGACUCCAGAAAAACACACCUUUGCAGAAUAAGAGACUUAAAACCAUGAGCAAGGCUAGCAUUCCCUUGUUUGAACCAGUAGAAAUGGCAUGUGCUCCUUAGCUGAAGCCAACACACAGGAGAAGUAGGAGAGAUAGAGCAGGUGAGGAAGCACACUUUUGUAGCAAGAGUUAGGAGGUGGAUAGGAGGACGUCUAGCCCCAAGCAGGAGCAGAGCCCACCAGCAAGCUGCUUGUGGAGGCAGCCUGUAACAAGCUAUUUGAGACUUCAAGCUGAGCUCUCGCCUCUACGCGUGUGAGGAUCCCUUAUAAAUAGCUCAGAGGAAGAAAAUGCCUGAGCGUGCUUUAGAGAAGCAAGUUCACUACACAGAAGAAGCUGCAAGUAGGCUGCAGGCAUAUUAUAGCUCCACUCAGGAGUGAACCUGACCAUCCUCUUCGUGUGGAGAGGAGAUAUGGCCCAAGAUGAGAGGAGACCAGAGAUGAAGUCUCAUUACCCA